AGGAAAAGAAACCAACAGGGAUUGCCCUAGUAACGGCGAGUGAAGCGGCAACAGCUCAAAUUUGAAAUCUGGCGCAAGCCCGAGUUGUAAUUUGUAGAGGAUGCUUCAGGGCAGCGGCCGGUCUAAGUUCCUUGGAACAGGACGUCAUAGAGGGUGAGAAUCCCGUAUGCGACCGGUUGGCACCCGUCACGUAGCUCCUUCGACGAGUCGAGUUGUUUGGGAAUGCAGCUCUAAAUGGGAGGUAAAUGCCUUCUAAAGCUAAAUACCGGCCAGAGACCGAUAGCGCACAAGUAGAGUGAUCGAAAGAUGAAAAGCACUUUGGAAAGAGAGUUAAAAAGCACGUGAAAUUGUUGAAAGGGAAGCGCAUGCAACCAGACUUGCCGGCGGUGUUCAACCGGUCUUCUGACCGGUCUACUCGCCGCCGGCAGGCCAACAUCAUUUGGGAGCGCCGGAUAAAGGUGGGAGGAAUGUGGCCCCUCGGGGUGUUAUAGCCUCCUACGCAAUACGGCGCCUCCCGAGUGAGGUCCGCGCUUCGGCUAGGAUGUUGGCGUAAUGGUUGUCUGCGGCCCGUCUUGAAACACGGACCAAGGAGUCUAACAUCUAUGCGAGUGUUCGGGUGUCAAACCCCUACGCGUAAUGAAAGUGAACGGAGGUGGGAACUUUUUGUGCACCAUCGACCGAUCCUGAUGUCUUCGGAUGGAUUUGAGUAAGAGCAUAGCUGUUGGGACCCGAAAGAUGGUGAACUAUGCCUGAAUAGGGUGAAGCCAGAGGAAACUCUGGUGGAGGCUCGCAGCGGUUCUGACGUGCAAAUCGAUCGUCAAAUUUGGGUAUAGGGGCGAAAGACUAAUCGAACCAU
RNAcentral lists this ribosomal RNA (856 nucleotides) under Suberoteratosphaeria suberosa. Its description in RNAcentral is "eukaryotic LSU rRNA". It matches the Rfam family "Eukaryotic large subunit ribosomal RNA", at positions 54 to 943 of the family's 3401-position model. Lineage: Eukaryota; Fungi; Ascomycota; Dothideomycetes; Mycosphaerellales; Teratosphaeriaceae. The record is from RNAcentral.